Molecule: ribosomal RNA, 484 nt
Filed under: uncultured bacterium
Lineage: Bacteria
Description: partial 16S ribosomal RNA
Rfam family: Bacterial small subunit ribosomal RNA
Source: RNAcentral
ACUCAAAUGAAUUGACGGGGGAGCGCACAACCAGUGGAGCAUGUGGUUUAAUUCGAGACGAAGCGAAAGACCUUACCCAGGCUUGACAUGUACCUGCACGGUUACGGAAACGUAGCCUUCUUCGAGAGUGGUACACAGGUGUUGCAUGGCUGUCGUCAGCUCGUGUCGUGAGAUGUCGGCUUAAGUGCCGUAACGAGCGCAACCCCUGCCGGAAGUUAUAUAUCUUCCGGGACUGCCUACCAUUCAGGUGGGAGGAAGGAGGGGACGACGUCAAGUCAGCACGACCCUUACGUCUGGGGCAACACACAUCCUACAAUGGCGUGAACAACGGGUCGCGAAGGAGUAAUCCGGAGCCAAUCCUAAUAAAACACGCCUCAGUUCAGAUUGAGGGCUGAAACCCGCCCUCAUGAAGCCGGAAUUGGUAGUAAUCGCAAAUCAGCAGGUUGCGGUGAAUACGUUCUCGCUCCUUGUACACACCGCCCGU